This 335-nucleotide long non-coding RNA is filed under the name Citrus x clementina. Its description in RNAcentral is "Citrus clementina (C. clementina) long non-coding RNA (CCLE_LNC001619)". Lineage: Eukaryota; Viridiplantae; Streptophyta; Magnoliopsida; Sapindales; Rutaceae. The record is from RNAcentral.
CAUGAUAAGCUUGUCAUUUUGAUUCAGAAGAUUUUCCUCAUACAAAGGUGCUAACUCUUUGACAAAAAUUGUCAUUUUACACUUGAGGCUCGACAUAAAUUACAAACCCGACAAAGAUCAUAGAAACUGAAAAGGCUAGGUACAACAACACGAGAGAUCAAAAGAAAUGACAGACUGUGUGAUUCCUAAAGCCAGGUGUUGACAUGAUACUCUCUCUACAAUCAAUAAUCAGGCCGUGGCUCCGUCACCUAGCUGAAGGGUUAUUUUAAUGUUCAUAGCAGCAAGUUCAGCUGCCAAGUAUCUAAAAACAUAGGGCAUUGCAACAGUCUCCAUGC